Sebastes umbrosus (honeycomb rockfish) is the source of this 1180-nucleotide long non-coding RNA. RefSeq lists it as uncharacterized. The transcript is spliced from 4 exons. The record is from RefSeq and is a predicted model, not a curated record. NCBI's taxonomy places the organism in Eukaryota, Metazoa, Chordata, Actinopteri, Perciformes, Sebastidae.
GUUGGUCUGGAGUGAUUCCAGUCAGCGAGGAGGAGGAGGACACGCAGCAGGAACUCAUUUCCUCACGCCGAGGCAGAAAUGCAGAGGCGCUGUUAAAGCUGUGAUACACGGGGCGGGAGGUCGAAAGGUCAGCUGAAACCCAGCAGCUUCCCCUUCUCUCAGCUUUAAAGCUGCUAAAAAGACGACACACCUGAGGGGUUCGGUCCGAGUCGCUGAAGUUCUUCAGCGAGAGGAAACAACCCGAGAGGCUGCAGUUGGCGAAAGCGAAACAUCUGCAGCAGUAAUGAGUCACAGCCGUCGCAGAGAGCCAGAACGCUCUUCACCUCAGCAGCAGAGCACCAACAUCAUUCAAUCACAAUCUGCUCUUUAAAGAUCGCUGUAACGUGUUGUGGCUUCGACUACCAGGACGAACCGGGAAACCCCGACAAACAGCAGCUAAACACUGAGUGUGUUUGUGGGCAUCUCGUGAGCAGGAGUGGAUUUGCAUCGAUGAGAAAUCAGCGUGGACGGAAACACUGAGCAGACCCAGCAUCCCGUGAGUUUGGUUCCUUUGUGGAUAUUUCUUGUUUUGCUUUUUCCUGGAUUUAAUUUUUAUAUUACUCAGUUGAAAUUUCCAACUUCCGACCUCCAACUAUUCCAGAGGCCUGUACGACGAAGCGAGCUCAACAUACCCAGGGAAUCUUCUAGUUAUCUGGCUUAACAAACCCUAACAACCGCAAUCGAGUAGUUAAACACUGAAUCCAUGACGGCCAAGUACAGACAGGUUUGCUUCAAACCACUGAGCUCAAUCAUCCCCUCCACCUGAAUGCCAACUGCAGGCAGGUGUGUUUCCCAACAUUAUAUCAGGCCCUCUCUCUGCUGCUCCAUCCAACCAUCAUGCCACUCGUCCCUCAGAAUGGAAGCUUCUUAUUUUCAUCUAAGUUAAUUUGCAGUCCCUUUUUUUUCUAGCCAUUUAUUUAUUAAAACUCAGAGCAGCUUGUGAUUGUUUUAUUUUGUUGAUUAGUAUUUAAUUUAUAUUACUAAUUUGAUUUAUGUACUUUUUGCACUGCAGAAACCAGACUUAGGAAGGUAAAAAAACACUGAAACUGCUUUCAUAGUAAGAUCUCUUUAUUUUGAAAAUAAAAUUCAUGAAAAAAAUCAUAGUAUAGUAUGUUAAAAAAAGUUAAAAAAAGAAAAGUCU